Molecule: ribosomal RNA, 253 nt
Filed under: uncultured bacterium
Lineage: Bacteria
Description: partial 16S ribosomal RNA
Rfam family: Bacterial small subunit ribosomal RNA
Source: RNAcentral
UACGAAGGGGGCGAGCGUUGUUCGGAUUUACUGGGCGUAAAGGGCGCGCAGGCGGUCUUGAAAGUCAGGCGUGAAAGCCCCGGGCUUAACCUGGGAAUUGCGCUUGAUACUCUGAGACUGGGGUACGGGAGAGGAGAGUGGAAUUCCCAGUGUAGAGGUGAAAUUCGUAGAUAUUGGGAAGAACACCAGUGGCGAAGGCGGCUCUCUGGACCGUAACUGACGCUGAGGCGCGAAAGCGUGGGGAGCAAACAGG